CCUACGGGAGGCAGCAGUGGGGGAUAUUGCACAAUGGAGGAAACUCUGAUGCAGCGACGCCGCGUGAGGGAAGACGGUCUUCGGAUUGUAAACCUCUGUCAGCGGGGAAGAAAAUGACGGUACCCAAAGAGGAAGCCCCGGCUAACUACGUGCCAGCAGCCGCGGUAAUACGUAGGGAGCGAGCGUUGUCCGGAUUUACUGGGUGAAAAGGGAGCGUAGGCGGGGGAGAAAGUUGAAUGUUAAAUCUAGCGACUAAACUGGUAGCUGCGUUCGAAAAUUCUUGUCUUGAGUGAAGGAGAGGCAGGUGGAAUUCCUAGUGUAGCGGUGAAAUGCGUAGAUAUUAGGAGGAACACCAGUGGCGAAGGCGGCCUGCUGGACUUUAACUGACGCUGAGGCUCGAAAGCGUGGGGAGCAAACAGGAUUAGAUACCCCGGUAGUC
This 439-nucleotide ribosomal RNA is filed under the name uncultured bacterium. RNAcentral describes it as "partial 16S ribosomal RNA". It matches the Rfam family "Bacterial small subunit ribosomal RNA", at positions 338 to 795 of the family's 1533-position model. The record is from RNAcentral.